Molecule: ribosomal RNA, 253 nt
Filed under: uncultured bacterium
Lineage: Bacteria
Description: partial 16S ribosomal RNA
Rfam family: Bacterial small subunit ribosomal RNA
Source: RNAcentral
UACAGAGGUCCCAAGCGUUGUUCGGAUUCACUGGGCGUAAAGGGUGCGUAGGUGGCCAGGUAAGUUUGGUGUGAAAGCUCGGAGCUUAACUCCGAAAAGUCAUUGAAUACUAUCUGGCUGGAGGGUCGGAGGGGAGACUGGAAUUCUCGGUGUAGCAGUGAAAUGCGCAGAUAUCAGGAGGAACACCGGUGGCGAAGGCGGGUCUCUGGGCCGAUACUGACGCUGAGGAGCGAAAGCGUGGGGAGCGAACAGG